CGGAAGUUAAGCCCUCCAGAGCCGAUGGUACUCCGCGGGAAACCGCGUGGGAGAGUAGGUCGCUGCCGGAU
This 71-nucleotide ribosomal RNA is filed under the name Corallococcus interemptor. The record is from RNAcentral. Lineage: Bacteria; Pseudomonadati; Myxococcota; Myxococcia; Myxococcales; Myxococcaceae. RNAcentral also lists the same sequence under 4 other names.